This 294-nucleotide ribosomal RNA is filed under the name Salmonella enterica subsp. enterica serovar Paratyphi B. RNAcentral describes it as "partial 23S ribosomal RNA". It matches the Rfam family "Bacterial large subunit ribosomal RNA", at positions 1271 to 1566 of the family's 2925-position model. The record is from RNAcentral. Lineage: Bacteria; Pseudomonadati; Pseudomonadota; Gammaproteobacteria; Enterobacterales; Enterobacteriaceae.
UGCUGGAGGUAUCAGAAGUGCGAAUGCUGACAUAAGUAACGAUAAAGCGGGUGAAAAGCCCGCUCGCCGGAAGACCAAGGGUUCCUGUCCAACGUUAAUCGGGGCAGGGUGAGUCGACCCCUAAGGCGAGGCCGAAAGGCGUAGUCGAUGGGAAACAGGUUAAUAUUCCUGUACUUGGUGUUACUGCGAAGGGGGGACGGAGAAGGCUAUGUUGGCCGGGCGACGGUUGUCCCGGUUUAAGCGUGUAGGUGUGUGUUCCAGGUAAAUCCGGUUCACUUUAACACUGAGGCGUGA